This 857-nucleotide ribosomal RNA is filed under the name Meloidogyne arenaria. Its description in RNAcentral is "partial large subunit ribosomal RNA". It matches the Rfam family "Eukaryotic large subunit ribosomal RNA", at positions 289 to 1019 of the family's 3401-position model. The record is from RNAcentral. Lineage: Eukaryota; Metazoa; Nematoda; Chromadorea; Rhabditida; Meloidogynidae.
AGGUACGGUGGUAAACUUCAUCUAAGACUUAAUAUUGCCACGAGGCCGAUAGCAAACAAGUACUGUGAAGAAGUUGCAAAGCACUUUGAAGAGAGAGUUAAAGAGGACGUGAAACCGGUGAGGUGGAAACUGAUAGAGUCGGCGUAUCAUUCAAGUAUUCAGUUACAUUAUUUUUAUGUUGUAAACUCUGAGCUCCAGAUUGGGACAGAGUGAAGCAGCAUAAUUUUUUGUGGUGCAUUUACUUGAUUGGUGCUUGGGGAUGUUUGAGGCAGAUUUGUUUCCGUCGUUUUGAGGCCAGCUUGCUGGUACCCAAACGGUGUUAGCAUUUUUUGUCUUAGACAUUUGAGUAUGGCUUACGGACAUUUAUUGGUUCGAGCUGAGCAUAGGUUACGGUCGCGUGCGAUCUGUGCUUUUCGUUUAGAUCGGUCCAGUUUAUGCCCCCGUACUCCUUCCCCAUGUAACAUCCGGUCAUCUAUCCGACCCGUCUUGAAACACGGACCAAGGAGUUUAUCGUGUGCGCAAGUUUUUGGGUGUUAAAAACCUAAAAGCGAAAUGAAAGUAAAUGGCUCUUUAGAGUCUCAUGUGCGAUCUAGUAAAAAAGAACAGCAUGGCCCCAUUCUAACUGUUUACAGUAGGGUGGCGGAAGAGCGUACGCGGUGAGACCCGAAAGAUGGUGAACUAUUCCUGAGCAGGACGAAGCCAGAGGAAACUCUGGUGGAAGUCCGAAGCGGUACUGACAAAGUAGACCUCAAGCAAAGUAGACCAAAGUGCAAUUGACCAAGUGUCGUAGGGUUCAGGCAAUAGGGUUCCCCCAGGCAAUCAAAUUUCACCAGGCAUUUUUGGUUUACUGCCUAAUG